GUAGCACACCCGGACCUCCAGUCGAGCUCUAUUUUCAUAACUGAUGACUAUGCCGGAAAGAUUGCGGACUUGAGUAUUUGGAAGGAGGUAGUUGCCAAAGGAAAAAUAUCUGGGGAUGACGAAAUAGAUCUUUCUCAGUUCCCUUGUGCCUCUCCUGAAAAUGAUGUAUACAACUUCGGUAUAUUGCUGUUAGAAAUUAUAUCUGGAAAAGUUCCAUAUCCCGAUGAACAAGGCUCAAUUCUAAGUUGGGCUAUGGAAUACUUGAACGAUAAAAGCAGAUUCGGUUCAUUGACUGAUCCUUCGCUAAAGCUUGUCAACGACAACGAACUGGAGGCUGUAUGUGAUGUCAUUCGAGAUUGUAUUAAUCAGGAUCCACAUAGGAGGCCACCGAUGAAGGAUGUCACUACGAGAUUGAGGGAAGUAAUAGCUAUUUCCCCUGAAGCAGCGACUCCACGGCUCUCUCCACUAUGGUGGGCGGAACUCGAGAUCCUUUCAGUCGAAGCAAGUUAAGGAAAUCGCUAUCGUCACCCCUUCCCUCCCUUUAUUGUAGAAUGUGUGCAGCAUGCAUGUAUAAUCUUGUUGUUCCUUGUGUGACUCCACUGUGUUUGCCUUUUCGCUUGUAUACUUACCUAUCUGACAGAUUCGGCAUGUUUUUACCUUGAGACCGUCGCAGUAAAAAUGC
This 682-nucleotide unclassified non-coding RNA is filed under the name Hevea brasiliensis (rubber tree). Lineage: Eukaryota; Viridiplantae; Streptophyta; Magnoliopsida; Malpighiales; Euphorbiaceae. The record is from RNAcentral.